Molecule: ribosomal RNA, 450 nt
Filed under: uncultured bacterium
Lineage: Bacteria
Description: bacterial SSU rRNA
Rfam family: Bacterial small subunit ribosomal RNA
Source: RNAcentral
GUGGGGAAUUUUGGACAAUGGGCGCAAGCCUGAUCCAGCCAUGCCGCGUGUCUGAAGAAGGCCUUCGGGUUGUAAAGGACUUUUGUCAGGGAAGAAAAGGCUGUUGCUAAUACCGACAGCUGAUGACGGUACCUGAAGAAUAAGCACCGGCUAACUACGUGCCAGCAGCCGCGGUAAUACGUAGGGUGCGAGCGUUAAUCGGAAUUACUGGGCGUAAAGCGAGCGCAGACGGUUACUUAAGCAGGAUGUGAAAUCCCCGGGCUCAACCUGGGAACUGCGUUCUGAACUGGGUGACUAGAGUGUGUCAGAGGGAGGUAGAAUUCCACGUGUAGCAGUGAAAUGCGUAGAGAUGUGGAGGAAUACCGAUGGCGAAGGCAGCCUCCUGGGAUAACACUGACGUUCAUGCUCGAAAGCGUGGGUAGCAAACAGGAUUAGAAACCCUAGUAGUCC